This is a long non-coding RNA of Hemicordylus capensis (graceful crag lizard), 896 nucleotides long. RefSeq lists it as uncharacterized. The record is from RefSeq and is a predicted model, not a curated record. Lineage: Eukaryota; Metazoa; Chordata; Lepidosauria; Squamata; Cordylidae. The transcript has 4 exons.
UUCAAACACGGCAUGGGCUUUUUGUCAGUCUCAGCUGUACAGACUGUGAGCUAACACCUGUCCCAGUUAUGAUUUCGGGGUUGAGGCAAGAGUGAGGGCUGCAGAAACUCCACCCUUAGCUGUUGCUCCUACACCCAGUCUGAUCUUGAACAUUGAACAUCUGAUCUUGAAUUAUUUACCUUGGAAAAGUAAGUCUUCAUGGGGUUUCCAUCCUCGCUGCUGUUGAAGGCACAAGAGCAGAAUCAGUCAAGAUGUUGGCAACUGAAGUGUUCCACAAAGAUUCUAUAUCCCACCCCCAGGCAAAAACAUUUCCUACAAUGAUUCAGGAGGAUCCUCAUAUCCUUUUCUCAUUAGGUUGCUGGCAGGCGUUCAGGAGUGUAUCAUGCCUUUCCGGGUUUGACUAUGGCUCGUAUCCUGCAUAAAACGUGCAGCAGGGAACAAUCUAAUAAAAAAAUCCAUCCAGAUUUUUAUGUGUGCCUGUCAGCCUGUGUAGCUCUGCAGGGCCAGUGGAAUUCAGAGGCAAGAAAAAGGAGGAGUCCUUGCCCCCAAAACAAAGAAUCCUGAAGAAGACAUUUUCAUCUGGGAAAGAAGCUUCCUUUGAGGAAGAAAACCUUAAGAUAUAACCAAAAGAAUUUGUUCUUAUUUUAUUAGAACUACUUUGUGUGUGUGUGUGUGUUGUGUGUGUAUGUGUGUGUAAUUUCAACCUACAGGUGAAACUCGGAAAAUUAGAAUAUCGUGCAAAAGUCCAUUAAUUUCAGUCCGAUAUUGUUCCAUUCUUCGAUCCUUGUCUUCUUGGUUCCAUGUAAUAUUCUAAUUUUCUGAGAUUGUGGAUUUGGGGUUUUCAUGAGCUGUACGCCAUGAUCAUCACAAUUAUAACAAAUUAAGGCUUGACUUAU